AUUGAACGCUGGCGGAAUGCUUUACACAUGCAAGUCGAACGGUAGAGGGGGCAACCCCUUGAGAGUGGCGAACGGGUGAGUAAUAUAUCGGAACGUGCCCAGUCGUGGGGAUAACGUAGCGAAAGUUACGCUAAUACCGCAUACGAUCUAAGGAUGAAAGCGGGGGAUCGCAAGACCUCGCGCGAUUGGAGCGGCCGAUAUCAGAUUAGGUAGUUGGUGAGGUAAAGGCUCACCAAGCCAACGAUCUGUAGCUGGUCUGAGAGGACGACCAGCCACACUGGAACUGAGACACGGUCCAGACUCCUACGGGAGGCAGCAGUGGGGAAUUUUGGACAAUGGACGCAAGUCUGAUCCAGCCAUUCCGCGUGCAGGAUGAAGGCCCUCGGGUUGUAAACUGCUUUUGUACGGACGAAAAGGUUUGUCUUAAUACGAUGAGCUCAUGACGGUACCGUAAGAAUAAGCACCGGCUAACUACGUGCCAGCAGCCGCGGUAAAGUG
This 498-nucleotide ribosomal RNA is filed under the name uncultured bacterium. Its description in RNAcentral is "bacterial SSU rRNA". It matches the Rfam family "Bacterial small subunit ribosomal RNA", at positions 30 to 527 of the family's 1533-position model. The record is from RNAcentral.